Molecule: ribosomal RNA, 449 nt
Filed under: uncultured bacterium
Lineage: Bacteria
Description: bacterial SSU rRNA
Rfam family: Bacterial small subunit ribosomal RNA
Source: RNAcentral
UCCAGACUCCUACGGGAGGCAGCAGUGGGGGAUAUUGCACAAUGGGGGGAACCCUGAUGCAGCGACGCCGCGUGGGUGAAGGAGCGUUUCGGCGCGUAAAGCCCUAUCGGCAGGGAAGAAGGAGGACGGUACCUGACUAAGAAGCCCCGGCUAACUACGUGCCAGCAGCCGCGGUAAUACGUAGGGGGCAAGCGUUAUCCGGAUUUACUGGGUGUAAAGGGGGCGCAGACGGCGAUGCAAGCCAGGAGUGAAAGCCCGGGGCCCAACCCUGGGACUGCUCUUGGAACUGCGUGGCUGGAGUGCAGGAGGGGCAGGCGGAAUUCCUGGUGUAGCGGUGAAAUGCGUAGAUAUCAGGAGGAACACCGGUGGCGAAGGCGGCCUGCUGGACUGCAACUGACGUUGAGGCCCGAAAGCGUGGGGAGCAAACAGGAUUAGAUACCCCUGUAAUC